AUUGAACGCUGGCGGCAUGCCUUACACAUGCAAGUCGAACGGUAACAGGUCUUCGGAUGCUGACGAGUGGCGAACGGGUGAGUAAUACAUCGGAACGUACCCGAUCGUGGGGGAUAACGAAGCGAAAGCUUUGCUAAUACCGCAUAAGAUCUACGGAUGAAAGCAGGGGACCGCAAGGCCUUGCGCGAACGGAGCGGCCGAUGGCAGAUUAGGUAGUUGGUGGGAUAAAAGCUUACCAAGCCGACGAUCUGUAGCUGGUCUGAGAGGACGACCAGCCACACUGGGACUGAGACACGGCCCAGACUCCUACGGGAGGCAGCAGUGGGGAAUUUUGGACAAUGGGCGAAAGCCUGAUCCAGCCAUGCCGCGUGCAGGAUGAAGGCCUUCGGGUUGUAAACUGCUUUUGUACGGAACGAAAAGACUCUUUCUAAUAAAGAGGGUCCAUGACGGUACCGUAAGAAUAAGCACCGGCUAACUACGUGCCAGCCGCCGCCGUAA
RNAcentral lists this ribosomal RNA (498 nucleotides) under uncultured bacterium. RNAcentral's name for it is "partial 16S ribosomal RNA". It matches the Rfam family "Bacterial small subunit ribosomal RNA", at positions 30 to 523 of the family's 1533-position model. The record is from RNAcentral.